AACACGUUUGUUGAUAUUCAAAACAAAAAUCGCCAGAUCGUCGGCUACGUAUUCUAAAUUAGUAAUUAUUUACCAGUGGUUUUCUUAAUUAUUAUUCCAGUGAGGACCAAUGGAUAACUCAAAAACUGAAAAACUACUCCACACAGACUUCAAAUAUGAGGGAAAAAGGCAAGGCAGAGGGAGAAUAGACGAUUAGGGCCUUAUGCUGCCACUGGGGCAAGAGGAUAUGGCAUUUUAAAAAAGGAAAGAUUGUUCGACGAACCAAAUAAACCAACUACUUCAAGGAAGUUGCCUAUUAAACGAAGGGCUAAUAGAGUAAAAAAAGGAAUUACUCAGAUAUCAACAGAAUCACAAUCUUCUGGUUGCAAAGAGAAUUCUUGUAACCAAAUUCAAGAUCCUGAUGAUUCCAUAUACGAAAAUCAAGGUCUCUAUGUGGUACCUACACAAACUGAAGAAGCAGCCAAACAACUGGGUGUGCUCAAAGAGAGAAUUGAGAGAAUGCGAGAAGAAGCAAAGAUUGAAAAUGCUGCUAUUGAAAACCUGACAAAAAAAAUCAUACGUCAAAACUUGGGCAAAAAGAAGAGAGG
Long non-coding RNA from Daphnia magna, 587 nucleotides. RefSeq lists it as uncharacterized. Lineage: Eukaryota; Metazoa; Arthropoda; Branchiopoda; Diplostraca; Daphniidae. The record is from RefSeq and is a predicted model, not a curated record. The transcript has 3 exons.